Molecule: ribosomal RNA, 253 nt
Filed under: uncultured bacterium
Lineage: Bacteria
Description: partial 16S ribosomal RNA
Rfam family: Bacterial small subunit ribosomal RNA
Source: RNAcentral
UACGAAGGGGGCUAGCGUUGCUCGGAUUGACUGGGCGUAAAGAGCGUGUAGGCGGCCAUACAGGUCAGCUGUGAAAACUCGAGGCUCAACCUCGAGACGUCGGUUGAAACCGUAUGGCUAGAGUCCGGAAGAGGAGAGUGGAAUUCCCGGUGUAGCGGUGAAAUGCGCAGAUAUCGGGAAGAACACCCGUGGCGAAGGCGGCUCUCUGGGACGGUACUGACGCUGAGACGCGAAAGCGUGGGGAGCGAACAGG